UCCACUGAACCAUAUCAUUUAGAGGAAGGAGAAGUCGUAACAAGGUUUCCGUAGGUGAACCUGCGGAAGGAUCAUUGUCGAUGCCUAAACAUCAAACGACCUGAGAACGCGUUCACAAACAUACUGUCUGCGUCGGGGCCAGGGGGAAGCGUGCCAUUUGUGCGCCCCCUCCAUGUCCUCGACGCGUCUAAACAAAACCCCGGCGCAGGUCGCGCCAAGGAACUUGAAAUGAAUUUGCCCGCCCCUUGCCCCGGCCUCGGUGCGCGAGGGGCGGAACAUUCUUGUCGUAUUACUCACAACGACUCUCGGCAACGGAUAUCUCGGCUCUCGCAUCGAUGAAGAACGUAGCGAAAUGCGAUACUUGGUGUGAAUUGCAGGAUCCCGUGAACCACCGAGUCUUUGAACGCAAGUUGCGCCCGGAGCCUUCUGGCCGAGGGCACGUCUGCUUGGGCGUCACGCAUCGUUGCCCCCCCACCAACACCCCAUGCGGGCUCGUGCUGUGGGUUGGGGCACAUACUGGCCUCCCGUGCACACCGUUGUGCGGAUGGCUUAAAUUCGAGUCCUCGGUGCACGUCGCCGCGACACUACGGUGGUUGACCCAACCUCAGUACCAGGUCGUGGCCUCGGCGCUCCUCUUGGACUCAUGCACCGACCCUUCGAACGGCGUCCCCCAAAGGAUGACGUUCUCGACGCGACCCCAGGUCAGGCGGGACUACCCGCUGAGUUUAAGCAUAUCAAUAAGCGGAGG
This 748-nucleotide ribosomal RNA is filed under the name Indomelothria blumei. RNAcentral describes it as "eukaryotic LSU rRNA". The stretch from base 301 to 456 matches the Rfam family "5.8S ribosomal RNA". Lineage: Eukaryota; Viridiplantae; Streptophyta; Magnoliopsida; Cucurbitales; Cucurbitaceae. The record is from RNAcentral.